This is a transfer RNA of 82 nucleotides. It matches the Rfam family "tRNA". Rfam says of the family: Transfer RNA (tRNA) molecules are approximately 80 nucleotides in length. The record is from Rfam.
GCCUGAAUGGUCUAGUAGUAUGAUUCUUGCUUCGGGUCAACUGAAGUGCAAGAGGUCCUGGGUUCAAUUCCCAGUUCAGGCC